CCUACGGGAGGCAGCAGUGCGGAAUAUUGGUCAAUGGGCUCGAGCCUGAACCAGCCAAGUCGCGUGAGGGAAGCCGGUCCUAUGGAUUGUAAACCUCUUUUGUCGGGGAGCAAAAGACGCCACGCGUGGCGUUCCGAGAGUACUCGAAGAAAAAGCAUCGGCUAACUCCGUGCCAGCAGCAGCGGUAAUACGGAGGAUGCGAGCGUUAUCCGGAUUUAUUGGGUUGAAAGGGUGCGCAGGCGGAAGAUCAAGUCAGCGGUAAAAUUGAGAGGCUCAACCUCUUCGAGCCGUUGAAACUGGUUUUCUGGAGUGAGCGAGAAGUAUGCGGAAUGCGUGGUGUAGCGGUGAAAUGCAUAGAUAUCACGCAGAACUCCGAUUGCGAAGGCAGCAUACCGGCGCUCAACUGACGCUCAUGCACGAAAGUGUGGGUAUCGAACAGGAUUAGAUACCCUUGUAGUC
Molecule: ribosomal RNA, 459 nt
Filed under: uncultured bacterium
Lineage: Bacteria
Description: partial 16S ribosomal RNA
Rfam family: Bacterial small subunit ribosomal RNA
Source: RNAcentral